Molecule: transfer RNA, 81 nt
Filed under: Trichoderma hamatum GD12
Lineage: Eukaryota; Fungi; Ascomycota; Sordariomycetes; Hypocreales; Hypocreaceae
Description: tRNA-Leu (TAG) (tRNA-Leu-TAG-2-1)
Rfam family: tRNA
About the family: Transfer RNA (tRNA) molecules are approximately 80 nucleotides in length. Their secondary structure includes four short double-helical elements and three loops (D, anti-codon, and T loops). Further hydrogen bonds mediate the characteristic L-shaped molecular structure. tRNAs have two regions of fundamental functional importance: the anti-codon, which is responsible for specific mRNA codon recognition, and the 3' end, to which the tRNAs corresponding amino acid is attached (by aminoacyl-tRNA synthetases). tRNAs cope with the degeneracy of the genetic code in two manners: having more than one tRNA (with a specific anti-codon) for a particular amino acid; and 'wobble' base-pairing, i.e. permitting non-standard base-pairing at the 3rd anti-codon position.
Source: RNAcentral
GCGAGUCUGGCCGAGUGGUUAAGGCGUUGUGUUUAGGCCGCAAUGGGCAUGCCCGCGUAGGUUCGAUCCCUACGGCUCGCA